This 670-nucleotide long non-coding RNA is filed under the name Ananas comosus (pineapple). Its description in RNAcentral is "long non-coding RNA (ACOM_LNC026452)". The record is from RNAcentral. Lineage: Eukaryota; Viridiplantae; Streptophyta; Magnoliopsida; Poales; Bromeliaceae.
UUUAAAAAAUUAGAUAAUUAAGUUAAAAUGGAUUAAAGUUUAAGUAAAUUUCAUGUAUUUUUAUUUAUAUUUCUCUAAGGUUAAUUUCAUACAGGUCUCUGCAAAUAUAGUGAAUGACAAAUAAAUUCCUAUAAAGUUUAAUUUUUAUAUAUUAUUACUACGAAAGUUCUAAUAUUUUCGAAUAUGUCCCUUCAAAAGCCAUAACAGUACAAUAUAAGAGGGAUAAAAAUAUCAAAAAUUAAUUAGGAUUAAGUAUUUAAUCUAUGAUUAACUAAAUUUGUCUAAUGGAUUUUAACGGCAGAAAUGUAUUUGAAAAUAUCAGGACUUUUGUAGAGACAAUAUAUGAAAGUUGAACUUUGUAGAAAUAUAUUUAUCAUUCACUAUAUUUACAGGAACAUGUAUAAAAUUAAUCCAGUUGAGGGGUCUGUAUACAUUUUUACCUACUACUUGCAAUCAUAGUUAGUUAAUUUGGAUUUUGCAAAAAUUCGAUACGAGUAUAAUAUGAAUAAAAUUCGUAUCCUAAUUUUUAAAUUCGUUGAAAAAUACAGCUUAAAAAACGAAUUCACUAAUUAUCCGGAUGCGCAAUUUAUACGAAAAUUAUACGUUCAUCAAUUAAAAGUUCGGGAUAAAAAAAAUUCAGCUAGUAAAUUAAAUUUUUUUUAUAGAUUAU